Rhea pennata is the source of this 987-nucleotide long non-coding RNA. RefSeq lists it as uncharacterized. The transcript is spliced from 3 exons. The record is from RefSeq and is a predicted model, not a curated record. NCBI's taxonomy places the organism in Eukaryota, Metazoa, Chordata, Aves, Rheiformes, Rheidae.
UUUGUCUUUCGGCUUCAGUGAUGCUGGCCGGGGCCAAAUUAAGGCAGAAAAACGGAAGUGUUGAAAUCUUUCUCUGAAGAAUGAAACAUCUUAUUUGAUGUUUUGUACGGCAUUUGAAAUGAAGAAAUCAUCUUCAUGAUUGAAGAGCUGUGAUUUGGGGCAUUGCAGCAUCCCUCUUCAGCAGCUCUGCACUUACCUCCGCCUUGUCCCUGCCGUUCCACUUGCCCGGCUUGGCUGCUGCUGUUUCAACCUGGGGCAAUUGCUCCACUUGAAAAGCCCCGUCAGGGGCUCUCAGAUGCACCUUUGAGGAGACUAUAGCUGUGAAAAUGGCUCUGCUACCCUGACAGAUGACUAGACUGCCUGGGAGACCUGCCUGUGCUCCUCCUUGGUUCCCAAUGUGACGCUGACAGUGACGGCACUGUGGCAUGGGUCUGGAAAGGUCUCUCCAGGACAAAGAGCUGCCAGCUGCGUCUUUUCAUUCAGCUUCUCUGGUUGCAAGCACAUUCUUUAGAGGAGAAAGAAUUGGCUCAGAAAUAUGAUGUGUUGGCACUUAGGUUGGCAGCAUGCUUGUGGGCAACUCUGUUGAGUUGCCAGAUGCCUGGAAAUCACCCAGGGAAGCUAGCUGUGCUUGCGAAGCAGCCAGCAUGGGUGCUGGAGGGUGGCGGCUUGUGUCACUAGAGGUGCAGGAUUGCGCCAUAGAGAUGAGGCUGCCCCCAGGGCUGGUUAUAUUUGUGAAUGAACAUGUAAGAACAAAACCACUGAGAUUAAACCUGUGCAAAGCUGGAAGGAGAGUCAAGAGGCUAAGUCUGAAUGUAUUUCCAGUGUAGGUAGUGCUGAUGCGUGAGAUACUUGGGGAUUACAUGCAUGCUUCUGAGUUUGAUUACUUGGAUUCAGAAGAAAUAAACUCAAGCUGGAAUUCAUGCAAAGGAGAAGAGCUAUAAGGACAGAGCACAAAGAUGUGGAGCUGCAAGCUGACUCUGAGUAAAU